Molecule: ribosomal RNA, 319 nt
Filed under: uncultured bacterium
Lineage: Bacteria
Description: bacterial SSU rRNA
Rfam family: Bacterial small subunit ribosomal RNA
Source: RNAcentral
GACGAACGCUGGCGGCGUGCUUAACACAUGCAAGUCGAGCGGUAAGGCCCUUUCGGGGGUACGACGAGCGGCGAACGGGUGAGUAACACGUGGGUGACCUGCCCUCAGCUCUGGGAUAAGCCUGGGAAACCGGGUCUAAUACUGGAUAUGACUCCAUGACGCAUGUUGGUGGGGUGGAAAGCCUUGUGCGGCUGAGGAUGGGCCCGCGGCCUAUCAGCUUGUUGGUGGGGUGAGGCCUACCAAGGCGACCGACGGGUAGCCGGCCUGAGAGGGCGACCGGCCACACUGGGACUGAGACACGGCCCAGACUCCUACGGGA